Molecule: long non-coding RNA, 1354 nt
Filed under: Parus major (Great Tit)
Lineage: Eukaryota; Metazoa; Chordata; Aves; Passeriformes; Paridae
Description: lncRNA (ENSPMJG00000008312.1)
Source: RNAcentral
AGAGACAGCCUGAUUUCUUUCCCUUUUUUCUUUUGUUUUUGUUUUGUUUUGUUUUGUUUGCCUGUGUCCUCAUUCCCCCCGGCCUGCCCGGCCUGCAGUCCGGGGGAGGUUUCAGGUUGCAUUAGUGUCACCUCCCGUGCCUCGGCAGCUGGUGCCGGGCCAGCCUCCCACAGGCAGGACAGCCCCCGAGGUCACCCCAGGGGUGGCAGAGCUCAGCAGGCAGAUCGGCUGGGCAGCAGAGCACACACAUGGCACCUCUUCCCGUCUCUAGCUCCUGCUUCCAGUUGCCAUAGGGAACUUCACCGUACUGUGCAAUGCCUCUGGUAUCUAACCUCAUUAAAGGAGCUCAUCUAAUUCCACCAUACUGAGGAAACUCUCACCUCCCUCAAAGGCAAUGAUUCAAGAUAGUAAUCAGUGCAACGAGGAUGUCUGAGGGUUUUUCUAUCUACUGCUUCAGUCUGGGCUAUACUUUUCCUUCCCUCUUUACUGUAGCCACAAACACUGAGCUCGCCUUGCCGAGUGAGGCAUCCAGUCUCUUCUUGCAUACAGUGCCUCGGGUAUAUUUAAAUUUAAGCCAAGUGCCAAAUAAUUAAAAGGGGCCCUGAGCACACCCAGAAGAGACUAUUUUCUUCUUUUCCAUACUCUUCCCUCUUUACUGCUCUCUGUUAUUGCUUUCUCUGGUCUCUGUCAUCAUUUUCCUUUGCAGCCUUCUGGGGUCUGAGCAGAGGAAGAUGCCUCUCCUGAAGAAGAACCUUAAAAGAUAUACGUUCAGCCCUGAAACAUAGUUACAGCUGCUGACCAUCGCAUCUUUUUCCCUGGCUGUGAUAGGAUCACCCUCAGGAUUCAGGUUAUGUCUUAAUAAGGUCUGACCUAACAAUAUGACGCUGGCUAAAGUUCCUCUGUUCACAUCUCUGGAGAUAAAGUUAAGAAGCUCUGACCUUGAAAUUAUGAGUCAUGAAAGGACUGACAGCAACCACACACAGGAAAUGGAGAUUUUCUGGAAAACUGAGGACACUCCCACUUCCACUUCCUUUACCUGAGGGUACCUGUCCCCAUCCUUCAGGCUGGCACAGCAAACCCUCAUCAGGACCAGUGAAAGGUCCAGAGAGCCAGAUGAGAGGUGGCUGAGGGAGCUGGGGUUGUUUAGCCUGGGUAAAAGAAGAAGAUCUGAUCACUCUCUAUAACCACCUGAAAGGAGGCUGUAGCCAGGUGAGGAUCGGUCACUUCCCCCAGGCAGACGGAGACAGGACAAGAUGAAAUGGCCUCAAGAUGCUGUAGGGGAGGUUCAGGUUGGACAUCAGGAAAAUCCAUCACAGAAAAGUGGUGAGGUGUUGGAAUGGGCUGCCUGGGAAGG